Molecule: small nuclear RNA, 151 nt
Filed under: Otolemur garnettii (small-eared galago)
Lineage: Eukaryota; Metazoa; Chordata; Mammalia; Primates; Galagidae
Description: U1 spliceosomal RNA (ENSOGAG00000022820.2)
Rfam family: U1 spliceosomal RNA
About the family: U1 is a small nuclear RNA (snRNA) component of the spliceosome (involved in pre-mRNA splicing). Its 5' end forms complementary base pairs with the 5' splice junction, thus defining the 5' donor site of an intron.
Source: RNAcentral
AUACUGGCAAGAAAGUUACUACGGUCACAAAGAUGGUUUUCCCAGAGCAAGGCUUGCACUCCAGAUGGGGUGACCCCCGCAAUUUCCCCAAAUGAGCAAAGUGGACUGCACAAUUUAUGGUAGUGGAGUACUACAUUCACACUGUGCCCUG